GAGUUUGAUCCUGGCUCAGAUUGAACGCUGGCGGCAUGCUUUACACAUGCAAGUCGGACGGCAGCACAGAGAAGCUUGCUUCUUGGGUGGCGAGUGGCGAACGGGUGAGUAACAUAUCGGAACGUACCGAGUAGUGGGGGAUAACUGAUCGAAAGAUCAGCUAAUACCGCAUACGUCUUGAGAGGGAAAGCAGGGGACCUUCGGGCCUUGCGCUAUUCGAGCGGCCGAUAUCUGAUUAGCUAGUUGGUGGGGUAAAGGCCUACCAAGGCGACGAUCAGUAGCGGGUCUGAGAGGAUGAUCCGCCACACUGGGACUGAGACACGGCCCAGACUCCUACGGGAGGCAGCAGUGGGGAAUUUUGGACAAUGGGCGCAAGCCUGAUCCAGCCAUGCCGCGUGUCUGAAGAAGGCCUUCGGGUUGUAAAGGACUUUUGUCAGGGAAGAAAAGGCUGUUGCUAAUAUCAGCGGCUGAUGACGGUACCUGAAGAAUAAGCACCGGCUAACUACGUGCCAGCAGCCGCGGUAAUACGUAGGGUGCGAGCGUUAAUCGGAAUUACUGGGCGUAAAGCGGGCGCAGACGGUUACUUAAGCAGGAUGUGAAAUCCCCGGGCUCAACCCGGGAACUGCGUUCUGAACUGGGUGACUCGAGUGUGUCAGAGGGAGGUAGAAUUCCACGUGUAGCAGUGAAAUGCGUAGAGAUGUGGAGGAAUACCGAUGGCGAAGGCAGCCUCCUGGGACAACACUGACGUUCAUGCCCGAAAGCGUGGGUAGCAAACAGGAUUAGAUACCCUGGUAGUCCACGCCCUAAACGAUGUCAAUUAGCUGUUGGGCAACUUGAUUGCUUAGUAGCGUAGCUAACGCGUGAAAUUGACCGCCUGGGGAGUACGGUCGCAAGAUUAAAACUCAAAGGAAUUGACGGGGACCCGCACAAGCGGUGGAUGAUGUGGAUUAAUUCGAUGCAACGCGAAGAACCUUACCUGGUCUUGACAUGUAGGAAUCCUCCAGAGACGGAGGAGUGCCUUCGGGAGCCGUAACACAGGUGCUGCAUGGCUGUCGUCAGCUCGUGUCGUGAGAUGUUGGGUUAAGUCCCGCAACGAGCGCAACCCUUGUCAUUAGUUGCCAUCAUUCAGUUGGGCACUCUAAUGAGACUGCCGGUGACAAGCCGGAGGAAGGUGGGGAUGACGUCAAGUCCUCAUGGCCCUUAUGACCAGGGCUUCACACGUCAUACAAUGGUCGGUACAGAGGGUAGCCAAGCCGCGAGGCGGAGCCAAUCUCACAAAACCGAUCGUAGUCCGGAUUGCACCUGCAACUCGAGUGCAUGAAGUCGGAAUCGCUAGUAAUCGCAGGUCAGCAUACUGCGGUGAAUACGUUCCCGGGUCUUGUACACACCGCCCGUCACACCAUGGGAGUGGGGGAUACCAGAAGUAGGUAGGGUAACCGCAAGGAGUCCGCUUACCACGGUAUGCUUCAUGACUGGGGUGAAGUCGUAACAAGGUAGCCGUAGGGGAACCUGCGGCUGGAUCACC
RNAcentral lists this ribosomal RNA (1525 nucleotides) under Neisseria meningitidis 2001073. RNAcentral describes it as "bacterial SSU rRNA". It matches the Rfam family "Bacterial small subunit ribosomal RNA". The record is from RNAcentral. Lineage: Bacteria; Pseudomonadati; Pseudomonadota; Betaproteobacteria; Neisseriales; Neisseriaceae.